UACGGGGGGAGCAAGCGUUGUUCGGAUUUACUGGGCGGAAAGGGCGCGUAGGCGGCGUGACAAGUCACUUGUGAAAUCUCCGGGCUUAACUCGGAGCGGUCAAGUGAUACUGUCGUGCUAGAGUGCGGAAGGGGCUACUGGAAUUCUCGGUGUAGCGGUGAAAUGCGUAGAUAUCGAGAGGAACACCUGCGGCGAAGGCGGGUAGCUGGGCCGACACUGACGCUGAUGCGCGAAAGCCAGGGGAGCGAACGGG
This 253-nucleotide ribosomal RNA is filed under the name uncultured bacterium. RNAcentral describes it as "partial 16S ribosomal RNA". It matches the Rfam family "Bacterial small subunit ribosomal RNA", at positions 524 to 776 of the family's 1533-position model. The record is from RNAcentral.